AGAGUUUGAUCCUGGCUCAGGAUGAACGCUAGCUACAGGCUUAACACAUGCAAGUCGAGGGGCAGCAUGGUCUUAGCUUGCUAAGGCCGAUGGCGACCGGCGCACGGGUGAGUAACACGUAUCCAACCUGCCGUCUACUCUUGGACAGCCUUCUGAAAGGAAGAUUAAUACAAGAUGGCAUCAUGAGUCCACAUGUUCACAUGAUUAAAGGUAUUCCGGUAGACGAUGGGGAUGCGUUCCAUUAGAUAGUAGGCGGGGUAACGGCCCACCUAGUCUUCGAUGGAUAGGGGUUCUGAGAGGAAGGUCCCCCACAUUGGAACUGAGACACGGUCCAAACUCCUACGGGAGGCAGCAGUGAGGAAUAUUGGUCAAUGGACGAGAGUCUGAACCAGCCAAGUAGCGUGAAGGAUGAAGGUUCUAUGGAUUGUAAACUUCUUUUAUACGGGAAUAAACGGAUCCACGUGUGGAUUUUUGCAUGUACCGUAUGAAUAAGGAUCGGCUAACUCCGUGCCAGCAGCCGCGGUAAUACGGAGGAUCCGAGCGUUAUCCGGAUUUAUUGGGUUUAAAGGGAGCGUAGAUGGGUUGUUAAGUCAGUUGUGAAAGUUUGCGGCUCAACCGUAAAAUUGCAAUUGAUACUGGCAGUCUUGAGUACAGUUGAGGUAGGCGGAAUUCGUGGUGUAGCGGUGAAAUGCUUAGACAUCACGAAGAACUCCGAUUGCGAAGGCAGCUUACUAACCUGUAACUGACAUUGAUGCUCGAAAGUGUGGGUAUCAAACAGGAUUAGAUACCCUGGUAGUCCACACGGUAAACGAUGAAUACUCGCUGUAGGCGAUAUACAGUCUGCGGCCAAGCGAAAGCAUUAAGUAUUCCACCUGGGGAGUACGCCGGCAACGGUGAAACUCAAAGGAAUUGACGGGGGCCCGCACAAGCGGAGGAACAUGUGGUUUAAUUCGAUGAUACGCGAGGAACCUUACCCGGGCUUAAAUUGCAACCGAAUAUGGCGGAAACGCUAUAGCUAGCAAUAGCGGUUGUGAAGGUGCUGCAUGGUUGUCGUCAGCUCGUGCCGUGAGGUGUCGGCUUAAGUGCCAUAACGAGCGCAACCCCUAUUGUAUGUUGCUACCAUUAAGUUGAGCACUCAUGCGAUACUGCCUGCGAUGAGCAGGAGGAAGGUGGGGAUGACGUCAAGUCAUCAUGCCCCUUAUACGCUGGGCUACACACGUGCUACAAUGGGCAGUACAGAGAGUUGCCAACCCGCGAGGGUGAGCUAAUCUCUUAAAGCUGUUCUUAGUUCGGAUUGUACUCUGCAACUCGAGUACAUGAAGUUGGAAUCGCUAGUAAUCGCAAAUCAGCAUGUUGCGGUGAAUACGUUCUCGGGUCUUGCACACACCGCCCGUCAAG
Molecule: ribosomal RNA, 1398 nt
Filed under: uncultured bacterium
Lineage: Bacteria
Description: bacterial SSU rRNA
Rfam family: Bacterial small subunit ribosomal RNA
Source: RNAcentral